This 440-nucleotide ribosomal RNA is filed under the name uncultured bacterium. RNAcentral's name for it is "partial 16S ribosomal RNA". It matches the Rfam family "Bacterial small subunit ribosomal RNA", at positions 338 to 795 of the family's 1533-position model. The record is from RNAcentral.
CCUACGGGAGGCAGCAGUGGGGAAUAUUGCACAAUGGGGGCAACCCUGACGCAGCGACGCCGCGUGAGUGAAGAAGUAUUUCGGUAUGUAAAGCUCUUUUAGUAGGGAAGAAAAUGACGGCACCUGUUUAAGAAUCCCCGGCUACCGACGGGACGCCAGCCGGGGUUAUAUGAAGGGGGCCAGAGUUAUCCGGAUUUACUGGGCGUAAAGGGAGCGUAGUCGGCGCGGCAAGUCUGAAGUGAAAGGAACGGGCUUAACCCCUGAACUGCCUUGGAAACUGCCGUGCUAGAGUGAUGGAGAGGUAAGUGGAAUGCGGGGUGUAGCGGUGAAAUGCGUAGAUAUGAGGAGGAACACCAGUGGCGAAGGCGGCAUACUGGACAUUAACUGACGUUGAGGCUCGAAAGCGUGGGGAGCAAACAGGAUUAGAUACCCCAGUAGUC